This 253-nucleotide ribosomal RNA is filed under the name uncultured bacterium. RNAcentral's name for it is "partial 16S ribosomal RNA". It matches the Rfam family "Bacterial small subunit ribosomal RNA", at positions 524 to 776 of the family's 1533-position model. The record is from RNAcentral.
UACAGAGGGUGCGAACGUUGCUCGGAAUUACUGGGCGUAAAGCGCGUGUAGGCGGAGCCGCAAGUCAGAUGUGAAAGCCCCGGGCUCAACCCGGGAACUGCAUCUGAAACUGCGGUUCUUGAGUACUGGAGAGGGUGGCGGAAUUCCUGGUGUAGAGGUGAAAUUCGUAGAUAUCAGGAGGAACACCGGUGGCGAAGGCGGCCACCUGGACAGUCACUGACGCUGAGACGCGAAAGCGUGGGGAGCAAACAGG